Molecule: long non-coding RNA, 1183 nt
Filed under: Homo sapiens (human)
Lineage: Eukaryota; Metazoa; Chordata; Mammalia; Primates; Hominidae
Description: HSALNT0102631
Source: RNAcentral
AGAGUCUUGCUUUGUCACCCAGGCUGGAGUGUAGUGACGUGAUCUUGGCUCACUGCAACCUUCGCCUCCCGGGUUCAAGCAAUUCUUCUGCCUCAGCCUCCCGACAAGCUGGGACUAAAGGCGUGCACCACUAUGCCCUGCUAAUUUUUGUGUUUUUAGGAGAGACGGGGUUUCACCAUUUUGGCCAGGCUGGUGUCAAAUUCUUGACCUUGUGAUCUAUCCAUCUCAGCCUCCCAAAGUGCUGGGAUUACAGGCGUGAGCCACCGGGCCUGGCCAGCUUUCUCUUUCCAGAAGCUUUAUGGUUUCAGCUCUUACAUUUAAUUCUUUAAUCCAUUUUGAAUUAAUGUUUUUGUAUGGUGUAUAAUAAAAGUCCAAUUUUAUUCUUUUGCAUGGGGAUAUCCAGUUUUCCUAAUGCUGUUCCUUGAAAAGACUAUUCUUUCCCCAGUGUGUAUUUUUGACACCCUGUGGAAGAUCAGAUGACUGUAGGGGAAUAGAUUGAUUUCUGGGCUUUCUAUUCUGUUCCAUUUGGUUGAUGUAUCUGUUUUGAUGCCAGAACCUUACACUUCUGAUUACUGUAACUUAAUAAUAUAUUUUGAAACUGGAAAAAUACAAUGCCUCUAGCUUUGUUCUUGCUCAAGAUUUCUUUGGCUAGUCAGGAAAAUUUUGUGGUUCCAUAUGGACUUCCGGAUUUUUUUUAUUUAGGUGAAAAAUGUCAUUGGAAUUUUAAUGGGAAUUGCAUUGAAUUUGUAAAUUGCUUUGGUUGUAUGAACAUUUUAGCAAUAAUUCUUCCAAUUUAUGAACAUAGCAUGUCUUUCCACUUAUUUGUGUCUGCUUUACUUUUUUAUCAGCAUUUUAGAAUUUUCAGUGGGUAUGUCUUUACCCCCUUGGUUAAGUUUAUUCCUAAGUAUUUACAAAAUUUUUGACACUAUUAUAAAUGAGAUUUUCUUGAUUUCCUUAUCAGAUAAUUUGUUAGUAUAUGGAAAUAUCACUGAUUUUGGUAUGUUGAUUUUGCUGAAUUCAUUUUUAACAGUUUUUUUUUUUUCGAGUUUUUAGGGUUUUUGAUGUAUGAGAUCAUGUCAUCUGCAAACAGCAAGUUCUACUUCUCGAUUUCUGAUUUGGAUGGCUUUAUUUGUUUACUUUUGGUUUCAGGUUAGUGCAGAAAUGUGUUGGAAAGUGUUACUCC